GCUCCAGACUCCUACGGGAGGCAGCAGUGAGGAAUAUUGGUCAAUGGCCGGGAGGCUGAACCAGCCAAGUCGCGUGAGGGAAGACGGCCCUACGGGUUGUAAACCUCUUUUGUCAGGGAGCAAGGUGCAGGUCGGGACCUGCUGUGAGAGUACCUGAAGAAAAAGCAUCGGCUAACUCCGUGCCAGCAGCCGCGGUAAUACGGAGGAUGCGAGCGUUAUCCGUAUUUAUUGGGUUUAAAGGGUGCGUAGGCGGCAUUAUAAGUUAGUGGUAAAAUAUUGGGGCUUCACCUCACUACGCCAUUAAUACUGUAGAGCUAGAGAACAGACGAGGUAGGCGGAAUAAGUUAAGUAGCGGUGAAAUGCAUAGAUAUAACUUAGAACACCGAUAGCGAAGGCAGCUUACCAGACUGAGUCUGACGCUGAUGCACGAGAGCAUGGGUAGCGAACAGGAUUAGAUACCCUAGUAC
RNAcentral lists this ribosomal RNA (467 nucleotides) under uncultured bacterium. Its description in RNAcentral is "bacterial SSU rRNA". It matches the Rfam family "Bacterial small subunit ribosomal RNA", at positions 328 to 793 of the family's 1533-position model. The record is from RNAcentral.